RNAcentral lists this long non-coding RNA (365 nucleotides) under Chrysemys picta bellii (western painted turtle). RNAcentral describes it as "lncRNA (ENSCPBG00000007427.1)". The record is from RNAcentral. Lineage: Eukaryota; Metazoa; Chordata; Testudines; Emydidae.
CGGAGUGCUGUAACUGCUCGGUACUAGCCCUGAAGUGGAACCCGAGGCAGCCCAAAAAAAUAAAAUAGCCUUCAUCUCCCUUAACAUGGUGACUGUAGCUGUUCCAUAUGGAAAAGGACAAUGCUGGUGCAUGCUCUAGAAGCUGUGUGCAAGGCAGGUGGCUAUCCUGGGCAGUCGCUGCUGUGGCCAUAGUGCAGCAGAAAUGGAGUGUGGGAAGGUCUCUCAACCCGUGUAAUGCUUCACAAGUCACUCUGGACAAGGAUUACUGGGAGGAAACCUCAAGGCACACCAAGAGACUCCCUGAGUCACUGCAGCUUCUCUCUCCUCCAAGACGCCUUGAAUGCUGGCUGGAUCGACUGCUUUAG